GACGAACGCUGGCGGCGUGCCUAAUACAUGCAAGUUGAGCGAUGAAGCUUGGUGCUUGCACCAAUUUGAAGAGCAGCGCACGGGUGAGUAACGCGUGGGGAAUCUGCCUUUGAGCGGGGGACAACAUUUGGAAACGAAUGCUAAUACCGCAUAACAACUUUAAACAUAAGUUUUAAGUUUGAAAGAUGCAAUUGCAUCACUCAAAGAUGAUCCCGCGUUGUAUUAGCUAGUUGGUGAGGUAAAGGCUCACCGAGGCGAUGAUACAUAGCCGACCUGAGAGGGGGAUCGGCCACAUUGGGACUGAGACACGGCCCAAACUCCUACGGGAGGCAGCAGUAGGGAAUCUUCGGCAAUGGACGAAAGUCUGACCGAGCAACGCCGCGUGAGUGAAGAAGGUUUUCGGAUCGUAAAACUCUGUUGGUAGAGAAGAACGUUGGUGAGAGUGGAAAGCUCAUCAAGUGACGGUAACUACCCAGAAAGGGACGGCUAACUACGUG
This 497-nucleotide ribosomal RNA is filed under the name uncultured bacterium. RNAcentral describes it as "partial 16S ribosomal RNA". It matches the Rfam family "Bacterial small subunit ribosomal RNA", at positions 28 to 507 of the family's 1533-position model. The record is from RNAcentral.